GGAUUGACACAUCGGUCGUGCCCUAAGGGGUAUGAACUGGUGUAGUCAGUUUCUCACCUUCUGGAGAACCGCGAUGUCCUUAAUUGGGUGCCGCGAGGAACCAGGGCCUUUACUUUGAAAAAUUAGAGUGUUUAAAGCAGGCAUUUUGCUUGAAUACAUUAGCAUGGAAUAAUAAAAUAGGACGGAUGGUUCUAUUUUGUUGGUUUCUAGGAUCACCGUAAUGAUUAAUAGGGAUAGUUGGG
This 242-nucleotide ribosomal RNA is filed under the name uncultured Glomus. RNAcentral describes it as "partial 18S ribosomal RNA". The stretch from base 31 to 242 matches the Rfam family "Eukaryotic small subunit ribosomal RNA", at positions 673 to 886 of the family's 1831-position model. The record is from RNAcentral. Lineage: Eukaryota; Fungi; Glomeromycota; Glomeromycetes; Glomerales; Glomeraceae.